Molecule: small RNA, 893 nt
Filed under: Histoplasma capsulatum var. duboisii H88
Lineage: Eukaryota; Fungi; Ascomycota; Eurotiomycetes; Onygenales; Ajellomycetaceae
Description: Histoplasma capsulatum H88 hypothetical RNA
Source: RNAcentral
ACAUCCGGGGUUCCGAAUCCACGACACAAACAUUUACUCCAACGGCAACAAACUUCAGAGAGACUUUUCUAUUUUCAACUGGAGCAGUUGUCUUCCGACAUCUCUCACCUCUCAAACCCAGCUUCUGUGGGCCGCUGUAAUCUAAAUUCUCCGUCGAGAUGAUGGCGUGGGGACACUAAUCGUGCUGCAAAGUUGCCAGUUCAGUAUUGAUUCAGGGUUAGCGACCCUGAGGCCCUGGCUGACUACUGACCCGCUCCACUAACCCAACUGGAGAAGGAGGAAGUAGAGAAACACUCCAGGUUGACUUCCACGGAGUCAGCAAAUGCUGCUGCUGGAGGCAACCUGGAGAGAUCUCGCUCCAGCUGGAGCAGAUGACCUCUAGUUCUCUGCCAAAUAGUGACGAUCCCCGUGCACCUGGUCCCUCUCGUGGUGGAGGAAUUUGGAGGAGGAGAGGUGGUGGAGUAUUGAGCUUUCAAAAUUAAACUCCGAUAAUUAUCGAUAAAUGGAGGCUGGCGAACAUAUUUUUUUCUCUUUAUUUUCUCGUUUCUCCAUCCAAUGAUGUUAGUUCUCGUGUGAAUUCUUGAUUUAUGGUUUUCUUGAUUUAUGGUUUACGCCCGUCUCGUCUGGCGUUUGUUUACCAGGUUCUUCUACACAGCGCUCAACCACGCUAUCCACCAUUUUGGUUUACUUGUUUAAAUGUAUGUAUGUAGAAACUGCCAUUUUCAGGACAGUUUCUGCUGAUGGAAAUUUACCUUCCAAAUUUUGCCAGCUGGGAGGAGAUUUGCACUGCUGCCCCUCCACCGUCUGUUGACUACAAUGCGUUGGUCCUCAGGAAUAAAUCUACUUAUAGUAGUUAGACCUGUGUUCCCUCAUUGCUCAAUAUGGAAAUUACU